AGCCGCCGCCCGCUCGCGCCGCCGCCGGUGGGGGGGGGGGGGGAGGGCGUGGGGGAGGGGGCGGCUGCGGCGCCGCGCGGCCAGCCGGGUCCCGAGCCUCCGCGGCCGCUCGCGCUCGCUCGCUCGCUCCCUCUCUCGCUCCCUCGCUCGCAGGCUCUCUCGCUCCCUCUGCCCCCCCCCGCCCCCGCUUCCCCGCUCAGCGCAUUACUGGGUAACGCAGUGAGGAGCAGUUACAGUCUGUACUCCCGGGCAGCUAUAGGCUGCCACAGGAUGUGCUUAAGCAAACAAAACUACUUUUCCUCAUCCCCAUCCCCCAAGCCCCGCCGCAGACCUUCGCGGACCUCGGUGGAGGACUUGGACAACUUUGCCAGCAUUGUAAUCUCUCCAACGAAGCUUUCUGUGGGAAUAGAUCGUCGGCAGAGGAGAAGAGAAAUGUCCUAAAAGCUAAGCCGAGUUACAGAGACAACCUUCCUGGCCACGGAAACCUUUGCUGGGAUCUAUAACUUCAACUCGCUCCAAGUUUCCUCGAUAGAAGUUUCUGGCUGACGGUCCCAACAUGUAACUGAGGCACAGUGAGAAGUUAUUGUUCCGUGUGUACUCUUGGGAAGCUCUCUUCCAGAGCAGAUUAAAAUCUUUCUUUUGGUGUAUUAAAAGAUAUACUUCA
Molecule: long non-coding RNA, 664 nt
Organism: Felis catus (domestic cat)
Lineage: Eukaryota; Metazoa; Chordata; Mammalia; Carnivora; Felidae
Exons: 3
Source: RefSeq, a predicted model, not a curated record